Molecule: long non-coding RNA, 306 nt
Organism: Glycine soja
Lineage: Eukaryota; Viridiplantae; Streptophyta; Magnoliopsida; Fabales; Fabaceae
Exons: 2
Source: RefSeq, a predicted model, not a curated record
GUAGCCAAACCAAAAGUCAACGAAAUUAAGAGAAUACGAAAUGAAAAACAGGUUUAUUCAUAGGGGGAACUUAUGUGCAUGUUGGAAGAAAUUUCACAAAAAUUUCUACUAUUGGUUAAAGAUUGAAUGUUUAUUUCCAACUUGUUUAGAUUAUUGUAGUGUUUAGGAAUAAGAUAUUGUAAAUUUGAAGAACUACAUGUUCAUUGUGAGUCAUAAAUAAGUCUAUAUGUUUAUUUGUAAGUAGGGUGUAUAAUUUGGAUUGACAAGUCUUUCUUCUUUUCUACAUAAAUUUGUAUUUGAUGAUUU